CCCUUAGAUGUUCUGGGCCGCACGCGCGCUACAAUGAUGAAUUCAACGAGUUUAUAACCUUGGUUGAAAAGCCUGGGUAAUCUUUUGAACUUUCGUCGUGAUGGGGCUAGACCCUUGCAAUUAUUGGUCUCCAGCGAGGAAUUCCUAGUAAACGCAAGUCAUCAGCUUGCAUUGAUUACGUCCCUGCCCUUUGUACACACCGCCCGUCGCACCUACCGAUUGAAUGGUCCGGUGAAAUCUUCGGAUUGAGACUUUGAUUUCUUCACGGAAAACGCUGUUUUAAAAAGUUGAUUAAACCUUACCAUUUAGAGGAAGGUGAAGUCGUAACA
RNAcentral lists this ribosomal RNA (329 nucleotides) under uncultured eukaryote. RNAcentral's name for it is "partial 18S ribosomal RNA". It matches the Rfam family "Eukaryotic small subunit ribosomal RNA", at positions 1470 to 1796 of the family's 1831-position model. The record is from RNAcentral.